This is a long non-coding RNA of Entelurus aequoreus (snake pipefish), 3010 nucleotides long. RefSeq lists it as uncharacterized. The transcript has 3 exons. Lineage: Eukaryota; Metazoa; Chordata; Actinopteri; Syngnathiformes; Syngnathidae. The record is from RefSeq and is a predicted model, not a curated record.
AACUAAGACAAUAAUAUAUAUUAAAUAAUAACACAUUAACAUUAAAAAAAAUUAAGGCAAAUUGUGCCACAAUAACUUAACAGCACCAUAGGCUCAGUAGGCAGAGAUUACAAAGGAAAAUAACAAGUUAGCCUUUACGCAAACCAUGAACUGAUAGGUGUGGGCUGCACCUGGGAACACACUGAUUGGUGUUUCUAUGCAUGCGCGUGUGUGUGUGUGUGUGUCUAUGAGGCUGCUGUGUGUUAAUAAAUGUCCCCAUACAAUGUACAUUUGACGGUGAUUCAUAGCAGGGAAGCUAACAUUAGCCUACGGUAACAGCCAAAAUAUCUACUAACGUUACUUACCGCGAUGUGCUUCCUCAAAUUUGACGUUGAGUUCAUGUAAGCUUAAGCUUGUUGUUUGCCGCUGAAACUUUAUGUGCAGUUAAUCAUGUGACCGCCUGGCUCUGUUUGAUUGGUGAAACGGAGUCAAACGUCACCAGUGACUGUAUUUGAGUUUGAGUUUGAGUUAGUUUAUUUCGAACAUGCAAGCAUACAACAUGAUACAUCACAAUUUCCAGUUUCUCUUUUCAACAUGUUCGAAAAGGAGUAGGAAGAAGCAGAGCUUAUUGGAUUGGUGAAACGCAGGCAUGCGAUAAAUCCUACUUUGAAGGUCUGUCUGACAAACCAAAACAAACAAAGCGUGCAUUAACACAAAGCGAGCUGAAUAAAUGGAGCGGAGUAAAAGUAGCGUUUCUUCUCUAUAAAUAUACUCAAGUAAAAGUAAAAGUAUGUUGCAUUAAAACUACUCUUAGAAGUACAAUUAAUCCCAAAAGUUACUCAAGUAGAUGUAACGGAGUAAAUGUAGCGCGUUACUACCCACCUCUGCGAGUAGGUAAGAACAGGUACUGACCCAUUGGGCACUUCAGGGUGUCAUCAACAUCAUUUCUACCAAUUAAGAUCAAGAUCGGAAUUUGUGGAGCCCAGUUAUGAACGUUUCGUGUUUUGUGGCGAAUCAUCGGAGCAAUGUUUGGCGCCAUGCCUCGCCCACAUCUUACAGCGUAAGCAACGUUUUUUUUAAAUUUGUCAUCGUCAUGUGUAGUGUCUGUCAUUUUAAAUCUGACUCAUUUGGCCAAAGUCUCUAGGAGCAGUUCGUUAGACUGACCAUACGUCCUCUUUUCACCGGACAUGCCCUUUUUUGCGGAGCUGUCAGGGCGGAGUUUCUUAAAUGCCUCAAAUGUCCGGCAUUUUGAGUUAUGGUUGCGUGUAUUUUCAAUGUACGUUCAGGGUUAAGAAGGGGUUAAAAACAAAACAAAUUGUGCGCGCAGCAGCAUUGGUGAGGGAGGGGCAGAGACAGAGAGAGAGAGAGUUAUGAUAAACACGCAUGCGUCGCCAGGCUCUGCUUUUUAUCCAUAGAUUUAUCAGAUUUAAUUUUUUAUUAUCUAUAGCAGGGGUGUCAAAAGUGUGCCCCGGAGGCCAUUUGCGGCCCACAGCUAAUGUUUUAAAGGCCCACGGCACAUUCUAAAAAUACUAUUAAAAUAAACAAAAACAUAAGAAAAGUGAAAUAAAAAGCUUUAAGGUGAAAUGUAAUUUAGAAAAAGUUGCAAUGUUGACUAAUAAAACAAAGCUGUUUUUUUUCCUUUCAAACUGUCAUUGCUCAAAACAUAAUAUUGAAUCAAAAUCAAUGUUAUUAUGAAUUAUUGACCUAUCCAAGGUUCCGAGAACUUCACAUCAAAUAUUCCACUUAGAAAAACAUUUUCGGUGGAAGAUUUUGCAUAUUUUGUGUGUUUCCCAUUAAAAACAUGGUUUUGUUUGACAAAAAAGGGCGGAAAAAAACAAACAAAAAAACAACAUGAAAAAAACUAAAACAUUUUGAAAUGAGGGAUAGAUGUGAAGUUGAUGUAGACUCCAGAGAUUUAAGCGUUGAAUAUAAAAUGUAUGUAUGGCCUGGCACACCAUUAUCAUCAUUUCAUGACCCAAGCAAAACACUUUUUAUACUGAAAUAAAUACACCUACAACUUAUUAGAUAAAAACAUAGAAAAAACUACCAGCAGCGGUAAAGUUUAGAUCCAUGAAGGAAAGAAGAAAGUGAAUGAAUGUUUAUAACUGAAUACAUUUACAUAUGUAUACAAAAUUGUUUUCUUUUUUUAUUAUUUCUUUUAAUGAAUUAAGUAAAGUUUAUGACAACCUUUUUCCAAAACACAAUAUAGAAUGUGAGCUAUAACAGGGUAAUGCAUACGUUUAUCUUUUUUUUUCAAAACGCUUACAAAAAAGUGGGACCCAAAAAUUUACUGUGGGACCCCAUUUUUAUGACUUGAUGGGGUCCCUGGGACCCCAUUUUGAAAAUUCCUGGCGCCAACACUGCUGUCAACAGAGGAGAAAAAAUGCUUUAUUUAAAUAAAUAUAUUAUUUAUAAAGCAAAGUUUGGCGCCAUGCCACGCCCACAUCUUAUGGUGUAGGAAAAAAAUUGUCAACAUUUAGUCAUGGCCUAUAUGUGUAAUAUCUGUCAUUUUGACCGCUACUCAUUUUUGUCAAAAUCCGUAGGAAGAGUUCGUUCAAGUAAAACCCCUUCUUUUCUCUAAGGAGGACUUUGACUUGGAUAGCAGACGCGCUAUCCGACGCUAGCCGCCGACCGCAUCGAUGAUCGAGUGAAGUCCUUCGUCGCGCCGUCGAUCGCUGGAACGCAGGGAGAGUGUGAUCAGCGCGCUGCAGGAGCAAAGGUCACCGCCUCUGUCAAGGGUGUUGAGGGAGGAGCACCAUCGACUAGGGGACGGCGAGACACAGCUGGCAGUGAGCGGCAAGCAGAGGAGAGAGGUGGGAGAAACCGGAGAGACAGACAUCUGAAAAGAUUGUUCUUGGCCUCUCAUGUUGAUUAAAACUCUGUUAAACGGCACGCCUGGCUCCUGUGACGUGAUAUCCGUGGAACGGGUAGGGAACAACUUCCACACCUAUGCUUAAAAACACUUGAGUUCUGUCAUAAACAUGAUCUUUGGCUAGCUUUUUACAGCAGAGUACUCCUGUAAUAUUUUAAA